This 752-nucleotide long non-coding RNA is filed under the name Cyanistes caeruleus (blue tit). RNAcentral describes it as "lncRNA (ENSCCEG00000019648.1)". The record is from RNAcentral. Lineage: Eukaryota; Metazoa; Chordata; Aves; Passeriformes; Paridae.
GCUGCCCUCAGGACAUCCCCGCUCCCCUCAGAGCACGUCCCGGGCCCCGGCUUCCCGCUCCCCUCAGGACAUCCUCGCUGCCUCCCGGGCAUGUUCUGGGCCUCGACCGCCCGCUGCCCUCACGGCACUUCCCGGCCCCCAGCUUUCCGCUCCCCUCAGGGCGUCCUCGCUCCCCUCAGCGCAGUUCCCCCUCGAGGCAAAAGUGGCCACAUCUUAAAUAAGGCUUGGCUUGAUGACACGAAGGCUUUGCUGUAUUACUGGUUCCUACCUGCUCCUGUUCCUGCCCUGGCAACAAGGCACACCAGCCCUUAGCUCUGCACUGUGAACCACAUCAGGACACUGAUCCAGCUGAAAAACAAACCAGGAGUGAGCUUGAUCUUUGUGGUGCUUAGCCCAAAAGCCUGACUCCUUUUCCUUAUUAAUUUAUUGAAAAAAAGAGAUAAGGUACCACGUUUCCAGCAAUUAUUUCUAUAUAGCAAGUAUGGUGCUCAAUUUACUUUACAGCCUGUAAUUACAACACUAUUCUCUUAGUUAAAACUGAUAACUGAUACUGAGGAGACUUGAUCCAAUUCAGGAAUAUUAUCUAUAAAGUUUUGUGCCUGGGAGGAACUGCUGCUCUCUGAUACAGAGUCUGUAGUAAAUAAUGUGUUCCUGCAGGGUUUAGAAUUUGACCUCCAGCCACUUUUGUUCUGCUAACUGGUUAAAAACAAACCUGAUUUUCUGUCUGUGUUUAUGAGGUUCUUGGGCAGCUG